Molecule: long non-coding RNA, 673 nt
Organism: Brassica napus (rape)
Lineage: Eukaryota; Viridiplantae; Streptophyta; Magnoliopsida; Brassicales; Brassicaceae
Exons: 4
Source: RefSeq, a predicted model, not a curated record
CAGAGAUCAAAGGAGGAGAGGAUGAAUAUUUCCAUUACGCAAAUGAUACAAAGAGAUAAAGUUCCCAAAUGUUAUUAUGGUAUGUACGCAUAGGAGAGUUUUGGGGAAGAAAGAACAGACUCCCGAUUUAAAAUUUAGACAACACCUUUGUCGACCAGACUCUGCAUUUCAAAACACGGUAGUCAGACUGGAGUUGGUGACAAUGGAACAUUUUGUGAUGGAAAUCUUGAAUUUAUGGCCCGAAAGUCUGUACAUCCCAGUAACCGGGUAAACGGAGAAAUUUUCGAGGAACCUCCAUUGACCGACUUGCAAAUUCUUAACACGAACAAGGAAGAUCUUCUUACAGCAAACAAAUUAUGGACUAAAUAGACGGCUUUUACGGAGGUUGGUGAGAUUUUGUGCGCAGAAAGAAAAGACGUGGGAAGCAAGUAUCGAUUUUAAAAAACGUGGGCUUACGUUUGAGAUUUUGUAAAUGGGCCACGUGAUUUAUAAAUUAUGGUUAAAGGGUUAUGUUUUAGAAAUUACUAAAAUGACUCUAAUUAUACAUGUUUCCAAACACAUUUCAUUAAGAAUACUAUUCAAGUUUCCAAACAAUCUCAUUUUGUACUUGAGUUUUAAUAAGAUAUACUAGAUUUUGACCCGCGCUUUCAAAGCGUAGGUUUAUUUUUGUUUU